CAAAACAUUUACAUUUCUUGAUAAAAACGCAUGUGUAAGGAAAAGGAAAAACAAAAUAUAUAUAUUUCUGCUUUUAUUUUUAAUUUUGUCAGGAUCGGUCCUCCAUAAGAAUCUGCCUGAGCGAAAAAGAGAAGUGAGAAACACUGAAUGCCUGAAUGUUGCUAAAGGUUGAGAAAGGAAUGGAAAACGAAAAUGAAGUGAUGCAUCUCACCUAGAGACAAGCUAGGCCGGGCGUUAGAGAGGUGAACGCUUGGUGGGAGGGGCCGAGGAGCGGGCUGGGCGCCGGUAGAGAGGAGAGAGGAAGCUGACCUAGCCAAGUUGGAGGCGAACUCCGGGGAUGUUAAGUGAGAAGAAUGGAGCGCUGGAGAGAAUCCAUGGACGAUAUGCAUAAAGCGGAGAAGAUUAAGGGAUGACUGGAGUAGAAGAAGACGUCGAUGCUUGAGGUGCAGGAGGAUCUCGGCCACGCUGGCAGGAGGAUUUUAGGGCGCUUCCGGAUGAGGUGGAAGGAGAGAAUCAUGCUGCAACAGGAGAGCUGAGCGAGGUGGAAUAAAUCCAAAUCGGAGUCGGGAGACAUGCAGCACGAUCUGGACUGGGAGAAUGGACGCCAAGCGGGAGGCCAGGCAAGUGGUUCUGCGAGCUAGAAAGGAGGAAGGAGGGCGGAGAUCCUGAAGUCGAACAUGACGUGGCUGAACGUCAAAGUCCAGCUGCAGAACGGAGGGUUUAUGGAUGAAGAUCUUGUAAAGCGGAGCCUUGAAGGAUUAUUGGCCGGGGAGAAAUGCAGACUUGACGCUGAUUGGUGGGGCAGAGCUGCAUGGAGGAGUAAUUAGACGAAGCUGCAGGUAUUCCAUUGCAGGAUAUGCAAGCAGAUGGAAGUUUGAGCAUUGACGAUUUGGGUGCAGAGUCAGCUGGUGUAAUAGUUCUACCUCCAAUCCAGUCUCCUCGGGGGCCACGAUCAAUGGAAGGACUAAAGGCAGCCAUCAAUCCUCUGAGUCACUCCCAAGACAAUGGUAGAGACGUUUACCAAGCUGCACUGAACUAUGCAAUGUUGCAUUCGGAAACAUGACAAGACAGUUCAUCAACACUGUAGACCAUAAGUUGACUGCAAUGGUAUUUUAAGUUCUUUAUUAUCAUAAUAUUUUAUAUAUUUUCUUAUUAUAUUAUAUUAUAUUACAUUACAUUACAUUAUAUUAUAUUAUAUUAUAUUGUUUAUUUUUUUUACUCCAUUUCAGAUACCUACAGGCAGGCAUAAAAGCCAUUGCACAAAGUGAUCCAUACAAAACUCAUUUUAACUGAAAAGGAAGCAUGUCUUCUGUACAAACAAGACAUCACUUCUGAAAGAAAAAAGAGAACAGUUUUGCCUUUACAAUGUCUAUUAAAGUUUACAAAUAACCAGGUUUCUAGUAUGACAAGUUGCUACUGUAAUUAUUUGUUGAAUCGUCAGAUUGAGUGUGUAUCUGAUUGAUUAUAUUUCUAACUUUGAAAGCUUUACAGCCAACUGAUUCAAUACAUUUUCGUUUUAUUUUUUUUUUUUUAACCGUGUUCUGUCAGAAUACUUGUCUGAGUGUAAUACUUGAAAGUGACUUCAUCAAAAAUGCUCAGAAAUCUCAUUGAACUGUGAAAAAAAGGCAUUUUCAUAAUUUCAAAAAAUGAUAACACACCCUAAAACAUGAACUUUGAUACUGCUAAAGACAUUGAUGUUUGCAUGUUAAAGAAAGAACUUCAUUUACUAACUAUGACUGAUGGUUCUGUAUUAUUUCAGUGAACAUAAAGGAAAUGAAAAUUA
Molecule: long non-coding RNA, 1783 nt
Organism: Girardinichthys multiradiatus
Lineage: Eukaryota; Metazoa; Chordata; Actinopteri; Cyprinodontiformes; Goodeidae
Exons: 2
Source: RefSeq, a predicted model, not a curated record